CUUUACUAUAACUUUAUAUUGAGCAUAUUUUUGGACUGCGUAGAAUAGAUGGGAGAGGUCUGAUGGUUUCGUUUUUGGAUGAAAUCUACUCGUCAGUGAAAUACCAUUCUUUUUGAGGAUAUGUUCUAACCAAAAUGGCAAAAACGUUUUGAGACAGUAUAUGGCGGAUAGUUUUACUGGGGCUGUACCCUCCUAAAAAGUAAAGGAGGGGUUUAAAGGUCAGCUAGGCGCGAAUGGAAACCGUGCCGAUAGUGUAUGAGCACAAGCUGGCUUGACUGUAAGAGGUACAUCUCAAGCAGGUGGGAAACCAGAAUCAAGUGAACCGACCACCCGUGUUAGACGCGGUGGAAGAUUAACGGAUAAAAGCUA
RNAcentral lists this ribosomal RNA (369 nucleotides) under uncultured organism. RNAcentral describes it as "bacterial LSU rRNA". It matches the Rfam family "Bacterial large subunit ribosomal RNA", at positions 2099 to 2465 of the family's 2925-position model. The record is from RNAcentral.